UGGGGAAUAUUGCACAAUGGGGGAAACCCUGAUGCAGCCAUGCCGCGUGUGUGAAGAAGGCCUUCGGGUUGUAAAGCACUUUCAGCGAGGAGGAAAGGUUGAUGCCUAAUACGUAUCAACUGUGACGUUACUCGCAGAAGAAGCACCGGCUAACUCCGUGCCAGCAGCCGCGGGAAUACGGAGGGUGCAAGCGUUAAUCGGAAUUACUGGGCGUAAAGCGCACGCAGGCGGUUGGAUAAGUUAGAUGUGAAAGCCCCGGGCUCAACCUGGGAAUUGCAUUUAAAACUGUCCAGCUAGAGUCUUGUAGAGGGGGGUAGAAUUCCAGGUGUAGCGGUGAAAUGCGUAGAGAUCUGGAGGAAUACCGGUGGCGAAGGCGGCCCCCUGGACAAAGACUGACGCUCAGGUGCGAAAGCGUGGGGAGCAAACA
RNAcentral lists this ribosomal RNA (427 nucleotides) under uncultured bacterium. Its description in RNAcentral is "partial 16S ribosomal RNA". It matches the Rfam family "Bacterial small subunit ribosomal RNA", at positions 355 to 774 of the family's 1533-position model. The record is from RNAcentral.